RNAcentral lists this ribosomal RNA (253 nucleotides) under uncultured bacterium. RNAcentral describes it as "partial 16S ribosomal RNA". It matches the Rfam family "Bacterial small subunit ribosomal RNA", at positions 524 to 776 of the family's 1533-position model. The record is from RNAcentral.
UACGGGGGGGGUAAGCGUUGUUCGGAAUUACUGGGCGUAAAGGGUUCGUAGGCGGCCAACUAAGUCAUACGUGAAAUCCCUCAGCUUAACUGGGGAACUGCGUGUGAUACUGGAUGGCUUGGAUUUGGGAGAGGGAUGCGGAAUCCCAGGUGUAGCGGUGAAAUGCGUAGAUAUCUGGAGGAACACCGGUGGCGAAGGCGGCAUCCUGGACCAAUAUUGACGCUGAGGAGCGAAAGCCAGGGGAGCAAACGGG